UUGUUAGAGCUGCCUGAAUGGCGUAAGACACCAUCCAUCUGGAACUUGAGCAGUUCCAGCCAGACCUGGCAUCCAAGCAAGCUGCCAACGAGGGCAGCCUUCUGGGGUUGGCUUCUUCUAUCUUGGCAGGGGGAGGGGAACAGAUGCAGAAUGCCUACUAGUGAUUCUUCUCUUUUCUUACAGGCAGACAUUCUUUUCAGUGGAAUGGAGGAUGAUGGAGGCUUUCCCAAAAGUCUACACAUGGGAAGUUAAGCUGUUCAUGCCCUGUGCCGUUGUGGAAUCCUGCCAUAAGACCAGCUGCUGCAUAAAUGUGUGUAAACCUAACCAAGCUCACAGGACUACCGCAUGAAGGGACAAACACCCACAGAACGCCCCUGACCUGUAGGAUGCUGUGUCGAUGGGCUCCCAUGCUUUCUCUUAAUUUCUAUGACAGCCGUGAAAGGUCGUUCCUCCACAUCUGAGGCCAAUUUCUCAGCGUUUGCGCGUUACCUGUCAAGCCCAGGAUUCAAGAAGUGGACCACAGAGAGUGUUCCUCCCAAAGGCAAGGUCUCUGUACUGAUGCAUCCACACUACUUUCCCUGCUCUGGGAAGACAGAGCAGGAACCUGGAUGCUUCUAGAAAUACUGUUGGCUUUAUUCAACUUUUUACUAACAAACAUAGAAACCCUAACACCUGUCAGGCUUCUUACUCAGUGACAGAGGUUUGGAGAUUGGCCACAUGAAAUCUUAAGCUUAGAAAGUUCAUGGUCUUGGGAUGUGGUUAGGGUAUGGAUGAGGAGUGGUAGACAAUGAGCAAUGACAGUACGGGGGAUGGGGUGAGGAAGUCAGGGUGGCCUCCCAGAGUAGGUGACUGUGAGUGGAGAUGCUAGACUCCUGUUUCCUAUGCUUGCCUAUUCUUCUUGAAUUCUUGAGAAAUAGUUACACUAUGAUUGCAUUCUGGUAACUUUAUUAAACAUACCAUACUUACAUAUUUCCUAAACCAAGAAACCAAGCUUUCCUGGGAAUUCAUAGUGGGGGGAAAAAGCAACACUAAUACAUAGUGGCAUAAAUGUACAGAUGUUUUCUGCAGCAUGGUUUAUAACAACAAAAGCCUGGAAAAUGAGAGAAUUCCAAAUUACUUUUAGGAAGUAUUUUGAAACUACUUAAAAUAAAAAAUGAAGAAUGAAUAGAGCUCUCCA
This 1177-nucleotide long non-coding RNA is filed under the name Oryctolagus cuniculus (rabbit). RNAcentral describes it as "lncRNA (ENSOCUG00000038939.1)". The record is from RNAcentral. Lineage: Eukaryota; Metazoa; Chordata; Mammalia; Lagomorpha; Leporidae.